This 253-nucleotide ribosomal RNA is filed under the name uncultured bacterium. RNAcentral's name for it is "partial 16S ribosomal RNA". It matches the Rfam family "Bacterial small subunit ribosomal RNA", at positions 524 to 776 of the family's 1533-position model. The record is from RNAcentral.
UACGGGGGGGGCAAGCGUUGUUCGGAAUUACUGGGCGUAAAGGGCCAGUAGGCGGCCAACUAAGUCCGACGUGAAAUCCCAAGGCUUAACCUUGGAACUGCGUCGGAUACUGGAUGGCUUGAAUUCGGGAGAGGGAUGCAGAAUUCCAGGUGUAGCGGCGAAAUGCGUAGAUAUCUGGAGGAAUACCGGUGGCGAAGGCGGCAUCCUGGACCGACAUUGACGCUGAACGGCGAAAGCCAGGGGAGCAAACGGG